GACAGACACAAAAAAAAAACUUCCAUGAAAGUGCACUCAGAAUCUAAAAGCGGGGUCCACCCAUCCUCUAAGCCAACACAUGGCCUUUUCGGCUUUAUCGUUUUUGCCUUUGGCGAUUAACCAAAUGGGAGACUCUGGGAUCUAAACAAGCAGAAUGAAAAAACAGCAUAAAACAUUAAUUCAAACGACAAAGUGUGCUCAACAGUGCAACAGUACGCCAGUCAAACAAUGAACCCAAAAUGAAUCCCAACAGUGAUCCAAACAAAGCUGCUGUAUUCGUUAUCGAUGCCAUAGAUCCCCUGAGCCUUGGUUCUGUUAUUUCCC
This is a long non-coding RNA of Acyrthosiphon pisum (pea aphid), 324 nucleotides long. RefSeq lists it as uncharacterized. NCBI's taxonomy places the organism in Eukaryota, Metazoa, Arthropoda, Insecta, Hemiptera, Aphididae. The transcript is spliced from 3 exons. The record is from RefSeq and is a predicted model, not a curated record.